RNAcentral lists this small nucleolar RNA (80 nucleotides) under Hordeum vulgare subsp. vulgare (domesticated barley). RNAcentral's name for it is "Small nucleolar RNA U54". It matches the Rfam family "Small nucleolar RNA U54". Rfam says of the family: U54 is a C/D box small nucleolar RNA, which acts as a methylation guide for 18S ribosomal RNA in plants. The record is from Rfam by way of RNAcentral. Lineage: Eukaryota; Viridiplantae; Streptophyta; Magnoliopsida; Poales; Poaceae.
UGCUUGCUGAUUAUAGCUAAUUACAUUGGCAAUAUAUGCUAUGCUCACUUUGUUUUGAUGAAAAGUUGGAUAUGAGAGCU